Molecule: long non-coding RNA, 1130 nt
Filed under: Anser cygnoides (Swan goose)
Lineage: Eukaryota; Metazoa; Chordata; Aves; Anseriformes; Anatidae
Description: lncRNA (ENSACDG00005001552.1)
Source: RNAcentral
CCAGCUACUAUGAGGAAAAAUUAACUCUGUCCUAACUGGAACCAGGACAGUAGCUCUGGAAGUCAUAGUGGUUAUGAAGAGGAAAUUCUGGGAAAACGUGUCAUUGGAUAACCAUAAUGAUGAAAGAAGGAGACUGGAAAAAGAACCCCUUUCUGCUGUUUCUCUGAAAGCAGAAUCUUGGAAUCUUGUUUAAAUCUCUACUGCCACAGGAUCAGGCCUGCAUUAAGGCAGAGAGCAAUCCAAAUACUGGAGAAGGUGGAUAAACUCGAGAGUUACAUCAAAAAAAUAUAUAUUGUGUGUUAUUUGGUUUAAUUGCAGUGAAAUUAAACGAGAAUUCUAUUUUGAGUUAUUAUCUUGCAUUAGACUAAGUAUCUCAGAGUGAUUUAUAGAUCUGAAUGAGUUAAGUGUCAGGCUGAGAAAGAUCAUUACUACACCAUUUUACAUAAGCAUAUUUUUAUGUGCCAAGGAAACUACAGCUUGUUCCUCAGUGAACCCUCCAGUCAAAAAGCAAAAUGAAACAAAAUCGAAAUCACGGAUUCCAAAGGAGAGGGAGUUAGGAGAAUGAGGAUUUUAGAGGCUUGCUUGACAGUAGCUUUCACUUCUUUUCUCACCUGAAACCAACAGCCUUAUCACUACCACCUGGAAUCAAAAAAGUAAUUUGUAUCCACUUAAAUUGUUAAAUGGAAACCACCUAAGUUCAUUAGAGCCCACUGGAAAAGAGUUGGUCACGUAAGGUUUAAAGCAUGGGGGUGUUCUUUCUCUGUUGGGAUAUUUUUGCAGCUUUUUAUUUCAUUGGAAUAGACUAGCUGAUAUUGACAUAGUCUCUGUGGGAUUCUUUUGCAACACUUGAGGAAUGACGCUUUCAUUGAAAAAGUGAAAGUGCCAGCAGUGAGACUAAGUACAUUGCUGGUAGCCACAGCAACAACGAAGCAAAAGCUGGACUCUUAUGAUUGGUAGCUGCACAUCCAUGACUGGAACAAGGAAUGGUCUGAACGUUUCCUUAUCUAGCAAAAAUAACAUCCUGUACAUGCGGCACAAGACUGCAGGUUUCAGCUCUUUAUUGCAGGAUGAAAUAUAAAAGAGAGAAGAAUGGGGAGGGAGCAAUAAAAAUAACACAAAACUAAAACCCA